UACGUAGGGUGCGAGCGUUGCCCGGACUUAUUGGGCGUAAAGGGCGCGUAGGCGGCCACGCACGUCCGUUGUGAAAUCGCCCGGCUCAACUGGGCGGGGUCGGCGGAUACGGCGUGGCUGGAGCAAGCUAGGGGGCAAUGGAAUUCCCGGUGUAGUGGUGGAAUGCGUAGAUAUCGGGAGGAACACCAGUGGCGAAGGCGGUUGCCUGGAGCUUUGCUGACGCUGAGGCGCGAAAGCGUGGGGAGCGAUCCGG
This 253-nucleotide ribosomal RNA is filed under the name uncultured bacterium. RNAcentral's name for it is "partial 16S ribosomal RNA". It matches the Rfam family "Bacterial small subunit ribosomal RNA", at positions 524 to 776 of the family's 1533-position model. The record is from RNAcentral.